RNAcentral lists this ribosomal RNA (268 nucleotides) under uncultured bacterium. RNAcentral describes it as "partial small subunit ribosomal RNA". It matches the Rfam family "Bacterial small subunit ribosomal RNA", at positions 26 to 290 of the family's 1533-position model. The record is from RNAcentral.
AGGAUGAACGCUAGCGGCAGGCUUAACACAUGCAAGUCGAGGGGCAGCACGAUGUAGCAAUACAUGGGUGGCGACCGGCGCACGGGUGCGUAACGCGUAUGGAAUCUGCCCUUUACUGGGGAAUAGCCCGGAGAAAUCCGGAUUAAUGUCCCAUAACAACCGAGGUGGCAUCACCUUGGUUUGAAAGCUCCGGCGGUAAAGGAUGACCAUGCGCACGAUUAGUUUGUUGGUGAGGUAACGGCUCACCAAGACUACGAUCGUUAGGGGG